This 1052-nucleotide long non-coding RNA is filed under the name Sinocyclocheilus anshuiensis. RNAcentral's name for it is "lncRNA (ENSSANG00000011311.1)". The record is from RNAcentral. Lineage: Eukaryota; Metazoa; Chordata; Actinopteri; Cypriniformes; Cyprinidae.
CGUUAGACAUGUUUGCGCUUAACACACAUGGUCGUUUUCUGUUGUAGGCGACAUUACUCUCCAGGAGAUAUGCAUUGCAAUGAGGUGGUGAACAGGCCUCUACAGAUUCCUGACAGAAUCACGUAUCCUCUACUGAAUGCGGAAAGUGAGGAGAGGUUUCCUGUGUACAAAUCUCGCGCUCACCGAAUGGACAUGACAUCGGAGGAAGAGCUCGGAGCCUCUGGGAGACGAGAGCCUUACCUGAGGAGGGACAGAGUUUUAGGAGAUACGAUGAACCCUGAAGGAACCACACAAGCUAAUUUUAAGAACUGUGAUAAUCUGCCCCUGACUCCAGCUCUGGCACUUAUGAAAAAGAGAAAUGAUGAGAUUAAAUCGGGACUGUUGAGGAGCAUGCCCAGUGUGUUCACACCGGGACUCAGAACUCCCAACUUUGGCCUGCAGAGGGAGACAUGGAGGUCUCCGUUCAGAAGCCAUAGAAGUGAGGAGGAGCACUGAUAUUAUGCAGGAAACCCCAGACAAUGACAUCAACAGUGUUACAAUAAUUCCCACAUAUUGAAAUAUGUAAAUGUCACUGUAAUAAACAGGGCUGCAGGUAAAAGGGGAUUUUCCUGCUUACAGAGAAUAAAUAUUUAUCAGCAGUGAUGUUACAUUUGAAAAAUAAGGCUAUUAAUACAUGCCUGAUUUAAAUGUGUUAUUGAAAGAUGAGAUGGACUGUCUUUGAAUUUUAAAGGCCAAGUGUUUAUACUGCCUACCGUUUAACAUUUUAACUAGAUUUAUAAAAUCGAAUACCACAAAGAAUUUUAGAGGCUAGCUCGUUUUAUUUAACUAUGCUGUUUAAAGUCAGCAUGAAAUUGUUUGCAGUUCAUUUUACUUUUGUACAUCCAUUGGUCAAAAAGGAAAGUUGUUUCAGAGGUUAUUCAUUUUGCUGAUUGUUUUUCCCUUUGGAAUAAUAUGCACUGAUGAAUCAUUCAAAAUAAGAUUAAAAAUAAAUAAAUAAUAAUAGACUGUAAAAAAGAUGUUUUCAAACUUGUAAAUAAAACUAAAAUUACCGC